GAUGAACGCUGGCGGCGUGCCUAAUACAUGCAAGUCGAGCGAACAGAUGAGGAGCUUGCUCCUCUGACGUUAGCGGCGGACGGGUGAGUAACACGUGGAUAACCUACCUAUAAGACUGGGAUAACUUCGGGAAACCGGAGCUAAUACCGGAUAAUAUAUUGAACCGCAUGGUUCAAUAGUGAAUGACGGUUUUGCUGUCACUUAUAGAUGGAUCCGCGCCGCAUUAGCUAGUUGGUAAGGUAACGGCUUACCAAGGCAACGAUGCGUAGCCGACCUGAGAGGGUGAUCGGCCACACUGGAACUGAGACACGGCACAGACUCCUACGGGAGGCAGCAGUAGGGAAUCUUCCGCAAUGGGCGAAAGCUUGACGGAGCAACGCCGGGUGAGUGAUGAAGGUCUUCGGAUCGUAAAACUCUGUUAUGAGGGAAGAACAAAUGUGUAAGUAACUAUGCACGUCUUGACGGUACCUAAUCAGAAAGCCACGGCUAACUACGU
RNAcentral lists this ribosomal RNA (496 nucleotides) under uncultured bacterium. RNAcentral describes it as "partial 16S ribosomal RNA". It matches the Rfam family "Bacterial small subunit ribosomal RNA", at positions 28 to 506 of the family's 1533-position model. The record is from RNAcentral.